UCCCAAUAUAAUAUAGUAAUUAGACUCAAGGACUAAUAUAAUUAGAAUGCAUGUCUCAUAAUUAGUCUCCUUUUUUUCACUUAUCUUUAAGAAAUUUCUAGAACUCAUAUAUUAUUUCAAAUUUCUAGAACUCAUAUAUUAUUUCUUGCUUCUUCCUUCACUAUUCUCAGGCUUUGAUUAAAUUAGAACUCUAUACUUUACUAUGAAAAUUGGCCCUCAUACAUAUUUCGGUAAAGAAAACUUUAAUUCAAGGAGUAAAUUACCUACUUAGCUUCGGAGGUUCAACUUUAAUAAGACCAAAUUAAUUUCACCAUUAGAAAACAUGAAGAUCAAAUAAAAAUUUCAUGAACCAUUUUUGAAACCACAAUAAUUAAAUCCGAAAUUGGGCUUCCCUCCAAUUAUUUAAUGCAGCCAUUGUUAUUUUAAAAGAGUUGGACUCAUAUUUGUUUUCUCAUUCCCUUGGCCCAAGUAAAAAAAAUGCUAGCCCAAACAAUUAAAUCAAAAUAACCCACAUAUAAAUAUCCACUUCACCCCCCUCACCAAACAAAUCCUAAUCCUACUUUGAUGAGAGAGAAGCUCCCACUUCUCACUACCUGCUACUUAUCGUCGCCACCCUGCCGGCGCCGCCGCUUCCGGUGACGUCUCUCUCUCUCCCUCUCUUUCUCGGAUCUGCCGCCGCCAACACUGUGCAUGCACAGGCGGCGGCUUCGGCCUCCUCCGUGCCUCGCACCGUCGGUCGCCGCCACUGCCGACACCCCUCCCCCGUCGUACGUCGUUUUUUCCGAUAGGUAAGAUGGUGAAACUAGUGACGGAUCAGGGGUGUGGGGUUGCCACCGUGUCGACGGGGUGCCUAAGUUCAGUCGCCGGAAUCUGGCAGAUUCAUAUUCAUGAGAUAAGAUUCUUAAUUUAUGCUUACCUUUGUUGUAGGACUUGGAUUAUAUAUGUUAUAUGAAUUUGGUGAUCCUUGAACAAUUAUCUUGCUACUUGAGAUUUGAUGGUGAAACAUGGGUGUUAAACUUGCUGUGUAUUGUUCAUUUCUGAUAUGGGCAGAUUCUACUUUCUCUUUAGAUAUGCAUAUGUUUGUACGUAUAUGCAAGAAAAGAAAUGUUUGGGAUUUACCUUUUGAUGGUGAAAAAAAGUGUUGUUGGAUUGUAGGACUUGAUCCUACAAUUAUCUGCAGCUCUUCACCUUCGAUUCCUUGUCAAUCCUAUGUUGUGUUGGUGUGUGUGUGAAGAGAACUUUGGGAUGUUGGAUAGUGAUGGGUACUUGCAAGUGCAAUGACGUGGGGUUUAUACACUUGUUUCUUUGCAAGUUGCUAUGCAAGUUGUGGGGAGUUCAAACUUGGGGAAUGUUUAACAUGGGGAAGGUUUUAACUUGUGGGAGGUUUACUACAUAAAAUCUUUUCAAAGAUUGUGUUUGGAUUUGGGAUAAAUCUCCUCCGUCUAUUAAUUCUGUUCAUUUCUACUAUUGGAUUUCAUUUGAUUUUUCUCAAGUAUAUACAUGUAGAUUUCAUUUAUAACUAAUUUAUCUCACUCUCUCUAACUUUCUUCUUAUGUAGGAAAGAAAAUCUCUAUGUAGGGAACAUGGGCGAUACAUCGGGCUUCCUUGGAAAAUACUACAACCAUCGAACUGGUUAUUCGGCACUCAGCACGUUUCUCCCCAAUUGAUUUAGAUUAGGAUUCGAUAAACUUGUAUCAUAAGACUUUUUCGAAGUUCCGAUGGACAUGCGAUGGAUAUGCCGGACAUUAACAACUUUUAUUUUGGAUUUACUCUUUUAGUUGUAUAUGAAAUACUCGUGGAAACAA
This is a long non-coding RNA of Salvia splendens (bonfire salvia), 1805 nucleotides long. RefSeq lists it as uncharacterized. NCBI's taxonomy places the organism in Eukaryota, Viridiplantae, Streptophyta, Magnoliopsida, Lamiales, Lamiaceae. The record is from RefSeq and is a predicted model, not a curated record. The transcript has 2 exons.